UGAACGCUAGCGGCAGGCUUAAUACAUGCAAGUCGUGGGGCAGCAUGAGUAGCAAUACUUGAUGGCGACCGGCAAACGGGUGAGGAGCACGUACACAACCUUCCUUCAGCGGGGAAUAGCCCAGAGAAAUUUGGAUUAAUACCCCAUAAUAUAUUUGAUAAGGCAUCUUAUUAAUAUUAAAGCUUCGGCACUUGAUGAUGGGUGUGCGGCUGAUUAGAUAGUUGGCGGGUAACGGCCCACCAAGUCUACGAUCAGUAGCUGAUGUGAGAGCAUGAUCAGCCACACGGGCACUGAGACACGGGCCCGACUCCUACGGGAGGCAGCAGUAAGGAAUAUUGGACAAUGGACGAAAGUCUGAUCCAGCCAUGCCGCGUGAAGGAUUAAGGUCCUCUGGAUUGUAAACUUCUUUUAUAUGGGACGAAAAAAGGGCAUUCUUGUUCACUUGACGGUACCAUAUGAAUAAGCACCGGCUAACUCCGUG
Molecule: ribosomal RNA, 481 nt
Filed under: uncultured bacterium
Lineage: Bacteria
Description: bacterial SSU rRNA
Rfam family: Bacterial small subunit ribosomal RNA
Source: RNAcentral